This 1422-nucleotide ribosomal RNA is filed under the name human gut metagenome. RNAcentral describes it as "bacterial LSU rRNA". It matches the Rfam family "Bacterial large subunit ribosomal RNA", at positions 466 to 1980 of the family's 2925-position model. The record is from RNAcentral.
CUAAAUACUACCCAGUGACCGAUAGCGUAUAGUACUGUGAAGGAAAGGUGAAAAGCACCCCGGGAGGGGAGUGAAAAAGAACCUGAAACCCUGUGCCUACAAGCACCUAGAGCGCGUCAAUGCGUGAUAGGGUACUUUUUGUAGAACGGUCCGGCGAGCGAUUGUAUGCAGCAAGGUUAAGGACUUAAGGUCUGGAGCCGAAGCGAAAGCGAGUUUGAAAAGGGCGUUAAGUUGCAUAUAAUGGGCCCGAAACCGGGUGACCUACCCAUGGUCAGGUUGAAGUGGAAGUAAAAUUCCAUGGAGGACCGAACCGACCUCCGUUGAAAAGGCGGCGGAUGAACUGUGGGUAGCGGAGAAAUUCCAAUCGAACCCGGAGAUAGCUGGUUCUCCCCGAAAUAGUUUUAGGACUAGCCUCAAGUUAGAUACCUGGAGGUAAAGCACUGAAUAGCCUAGCGGCCGAGAGGUUAGCGAAGCUUAUCAAACUCAGAAUGCCAGAGUAUUGAUGCUUGGGAGUCAGACAGUGUCAGAUAAAUGUCAUUGUCAAAAGGGAAACAGCCCAGAUCUACAGCUAAGGUCCCAAAGUCAGGUUAAGUGGAAAACGAUGUGAAGAUACGCAGACAACCAGGAUGUUGGCUCAGAAGCAGCCACUCAUUCAAAGAGUGCGUAAUAGCUCACUGGUCGAGCGUCUUUGCGCGGAGAAUUUAACGGGGCUAAACCUGACACCGAAGCUUAGGCAAUACAGCAAUGUAUUGGGUAGGGGAGCGUUGUAUACGCGGUGAAACAGUAGCGCAAGCGGCUGUGGAGUGUAUAGAAGUGAGAAUGCCGGAAUGAGUAGCGCGAAUGCAGUGAGAAUCUGCAUGGCCGAAAGCCUCAGGUUUUUGGAGGAAGGUUCGUCCGCUCCAAGUUAGUCGGGAGCUAAGGUGAGGCCGGAAGGCGUAGCCGAUGCACAGACGGUAGAGAUUCCGUCACCACCAAAAGAGUUAAGCACAGGGACACAUUUGAAGUCUCAGAGCCGGGUGUUGGUUCCGGUAGAGAUCGAGGGAAAUUAGUACCGAAGUCUGAGAUGGAAGAUGGCGAGAAAAGCUGUGUGUAUUUCUGAGGUGCCCGUACCGCAAACCGACACAGGUAGGUAGGAAGAAGAUUCUAAGGCCAACGGGAGAAGGGUUGUUAAGGAACUCGGCAAAUUGACCCCGUAACUUCGGGAGAAGGGGUGCUCCAGAGAUGGAGCCGCAGAGAAUCGGCCCAAGCAACUGUUUACCAAAAACACAGGUUUGUGCUAAAUCGAAAGAUGACGUAUACGAGCUGACGCCUGCCCGGUGCUGGAAGGUUAAGAGGAGAUGUGCAAGCAUUGAAUCGAAGCCCCAGUGAACGGCGGCCGUAACUAUAACGGUCCUAAGGUAGCGAAAUUCCUUGUCAGGUAAG